Molecule: long non-coding RNA, 638 nt
Organism: Agelaius phoeniceus (red-winged blackbird)
Lineage: Eukaryota; Metazoa; Chordata; Aves; Passeriformes; Icteridae
Source: RefSeq, a predicted model, not a curated record
AAAACCCACACUGCAGCUGGCCCGGGGGCAGAAAUAUGUACAGGGGACAUGGAGCUUCUCAGACAUCGUGAUCUCCUUUCAGGUUUUCCCAUUUAUUGCUAUCAGAGGGAGUGGACCCAGGUUUCUGUCACUGGCUGUAAUAUGUGCCAUAAUGUGGGGCUCUGCACGGCAGCAGAAACAAAUCCAUGAUGACACUGGUGUCUGAAGGAAGGACUUGGACAUGCAGAUGAACUCCAUCCACAGGGAGCCUCACCAGUUAGCGUAUAGCAAAGCCUCCAGCAGAGUGGGAAGGAAAAGGACAGAAAGGAGGGGGAUCCUUGCUUCAGGCCACUUGACCCCAGCUGGGCACUUUGGGUGUGCACUGCAGUGCCUGCACCAGAAGAAAACAGCAGAACACGAGGAGUGGCAGCAGGAGUGGGUGAAUACUUCAUCCCUGAGGCACUUUGCUUGGAGCUCACAAUUAUUGAACAUGGGAAUUCAAAGCUGUCUGUGCUGGUUGCCAGCGCUGUGCUCCCUCAGUGUACAGAAGGGUUUGUUUUCAGUCAAAAACCAUCACUGUGAGUUUCUCAAAACAUUAAGAUAAUCUCUAAUUAAUAAGCAUCGCCUCAUUUAAUUAGUAAAAGAAGCUAUCUUUUCUU